Molecule: ribosomal RNA, 221 nt
Filed under: uncultured bacterium
Lineage: Bacteria
Description: partial 16S ribosomal RNA
Rfam family: Bacterial small subunit ribosomal RNA
Source: RNAcentral
UACGAAGGGGGCUAGCGUUGCUCGGAAUUACUGGGCGUAAAGCGCACGUAGGCGGUCUUUUAAGUCAGGGGUGAAAUCCCGAGGCUCAACCUCGGAACUGCCCUUGAUACUGGGGAUCUCGAGUCCGGAAGAGGUUGGUGGAACUCCGAGUGUAGAGGUGAAAUUCGUAGAUAUUCGGAAGAACACCAGUGGCGAAGGCGGCCAACUGGUCCGGCACUGAC